AGCUGAUUUUUAUUAUCUAUUCCACGCUGGGUGAAUGUGGAAGCUGAAAGAGGUCAAGAUUUUAACCACGUUUGGACUACCAAAUAAUUCCAUUUGAUGUUAACAGAAGAGACUGAGCUUCAACAUUGAUAUUAUGGAAUGUUUAAUCAUCUAACUCACUUGCCACCACACAGCUUCAAGAAUCAUUUGAGAAGCAACUAGGCAAGUGAAUCAGUAAUCAUUUUAAGUGUUUGAUGUUUACAGCUCAGACUGGGCUUCAGUGUUGAUCUUCUGGUGUCCUGUCAAUUGGCUUAGAUCACACUGUACAUCUUUAAGAACCAUUUGAUUUCUCCAAAUGGACAGGUGGAAAUCCUCUCAACAACCAUUUUUCCUAAGAGUGGCUAAUCAUACACUGCAUGAUGCAAAAAGAAAAAAAAUGCAAUAAACUUGUUCAGAUUGUUUUGCGAAGAUACUGAGACAGAUGCUGCAUAACUUAUUUAUGGAAAACCUGAAGGAAUAUUUCAAUUUCAUUGUUGGUUGUGUCUGGUUUAUUAUGAUAUUUUUGCAAGAAAUUUCACUUAAUCCUCAUUUGUUUGCAGCCCAUAUGGUUAUCCCGGCUUGUGGGGCUAGUCCCUAUAUUUUUGCUGUGCUUUCUUCAGAGCAUUUAGGAAUGAAUAUUGUUUGAGACUGCUGUUGUGACCUGCUGAAACAAAUUGACAAGCUAUUUUACUAUCCUAGAUAAGUUUAUCAGCAAGAAUGUUUUACUCAUUCAUGUUUAUUUCUUUAAUGCAGAUUACUUAAUCAUAAUGAAGAAGAAGAUAUUGGUGGAAGUUUGGUGUAAAAGAAAUUAUAUUCGUUGAAAGGGUGACCGAAGAUUUUCUUUUCUCACAUGUUAUGGUAUUUUUAAAAAACAUUGAAGUGUAUAUCUGGGCUCCCUUAUUUUCUGUGGCCCCGUUUCCCCUUGACUUGUGAUA
Molecule: long non-coding RNA, 953 nt
Organism: Daphnia magna
Lineage: Eukaryota; Metazoa; Arthropoda; Branchiopoda; Diplostraca; Daphniidae
Exons: 3
Source: RefSeq, a predicted model, not a curated record